Molecule: ribosomal RNA, 1307 nt
Filed under: uncultured Campylobacterota bacterium
Lineage: Bacteria; Pseudomonadati; Campylobacterota
Description: bacterial SSU rRNA
Rfam family: Bacterial small subunit ribosomal RNA
Source: RNAcentral
CGCCAUAGAAUAGAAGCCCGGGAACGGGUUUAAUUUGGUAUUCCUCGGAGGAAAACUUUUUGCUUAGGGACCGUUAAAAUGGUUCCAUUUGUGGGGAGUAAAGCUUCCCCAGAAAAUGCCCCCUAGUUGUUUGGAGAGAUAUCAGCCCACCGGGAAAUGAACAGGGUUCAGAUUCUUAGGGGAGCACCAGGGGGAAUUUGCCCAAUGGGGAAACCCUGAUGCAACAACCCCGCGUGGAGGAUGACGCAUUUCGGGGGGUAACUCCUUUUAUAUGGAAGAUAAUGACGGUACCAUAUGAAUAAGCACCGGCUAACUCCGUGCCAGCAGCCGCGGUAAUACGGAGGGUGCAAGCGUUACUCGGAAUCACUGGGCGUAAAGCGCGCGCAGGCGGUUUGAUAAGUUGGAAGUGAAAUCCACUGGCUUAACCAGUGAACUGCUUCCAAAACUGUCAAACUAGAGUGUGGGAGGGGAAGAUGGAAUUAGUUGUGUAGGGGUAAAAUCCGUAGAGAUAACUAGGAAUACCAAAAGCGAAGGCGAUCUUCUGGAACACUACUGACGCUGAGGCGCGAAAGCAUGGGGAGCAAACAGGAUUAGAUACCCUGGUAGUCCAUGCCCUAAACGAUGAAUGUUAGUCGUCGGUAUGCUCGUCAUAUCGGUGAUGCACUUAACAGAUUAAACAUUCCGCCUGGGGAGUACGGUCGCAAGAUUAAAACUCAAAGGAAUAGACGGGGACCCGCACAAGUGGUGGAGCAUGUGGUUUAAUUCGAAGAUACGCGAAGAACCUUACCUAGCCUUGACAUUGAUUGAACAUUUUAGAGAUAAGAUGGUGCCCUUUUGGGAACAUGAAAACAGGUGCUGCACGGCUGUCGUCAGCUCGUGUCGUGAGAUGUUGGGUUAAGUCCCGCAACGAGCGCAACCCUCGUCACUAGUUACUAACGGUUUGGCCGAGGACUCUAGUGAGACUGCCUUCGCAAGGAGGAGGAAGGUGAGGACGACGUCAAGUCAUCAUGGCCCUUACGGCUAGGGCUACACACGUGCUACAAUGGUUAGGACAAUGAGAGGCAAUACCGCGAGGUGGAGCAAAUCUAUAAACCUAAUCUCAGUUCGGAUAGCAGUCUGCAACUCGACUGCUUGAAGCUGGAAUCACUAGUAAUCGUAGAUCAGCAAUGCUACGGUGAAUACGUUCCCGGGUCUUGUACUCACCGCCCGUCACACCAUGGGAGUUGAUUUCACCCGAAGCGGGGAAGCUAAACUGGCUACCCUCCACGGUGGAAUUAGCGACUGGGGUGAAGUCGUAACAAGGUACC